UCGUGUCAAGCUGUGUGCAUC
This 21-nucleotide microRNA is filed under the name Selaginella moellendorffii. Its description in RNAcentral is "smo-miR536". Its record names the gene smo-miR536. Lineage: Eukaryota; Viridiplantae; Streptophyta; Lycopodiopsida; Selaginellales; Selaginellaceae. The record is from miRBase by way of RNAcentral.